This 467-nucleotide ribosomal RNA is filed under the name uncultured bacterium. RNAcentral describes it as "partial 16S ribosomal RNA". It matches the Rfam family "Bacterial small subunit ribosomal RNA", at positions 28 to 506 of the family's 1533-position model. The record is from RNAcentral.
GACGAACGCUGGCGGCGUGCUUAACACAUGCAAGUCGAACGGAAAGGCCCUGCUUUUGUGGGGUGCUCGAGUGGCGAACGGGUGAGUAACACGUGAGUAACCUGCCCUUGACUUUGGGAUAACUUCAGGAAACUGGGGCUAAUACCGGAUAGGAGCUCCUGCUGCAUGGUGGGGGUUGGAAAGUUUCGGCGGUUGGGGAUGGACUCGCGGCUUAUCAGCUUGUUGGUGGGGUAGUGGCUUACCAAGGCUUUGACGGGUAGCCGGCCUGAGAGGGUGACCGGCCACAUUGGGACUGAGAUACGGCCCAGACUCCUACGGGAGGCAGCAGUGGGGAAUAUUGCACAAUGGGCGGAAGCCUGAUGCAGCAACGCCGCGUGCGGGAUGACGGCCUUCGGGUGGUAAACCGCUUUCGCCUGUGACGAAGCGUGAGUGACGGUAAUGGGGAAAGAAGCACCGGCUAACUACGG